Molecule: ribosomal RNA, 460 nt
Filed under: uncultured bacterium
Lineage: Bacteria
Description: partial 16S ribosomal RNA
Rfam family: Bacterial small subunit ribosomal RNA
Source: RNAcentral
CCUACGGGAGGCAGCAGUGAGGAAUAUUGGUCAAUGGGCGCAAGCCUGAACCAGCCAAGUCGCGUGCGGGAUGACGGUCCUAUGGAUUGUAAACCUCUUUUGUCGGGGAGCAAGGCCCGCCACGUGUGGCGGGAAGGAGAGUACCCGAAGAAAAAGCAUCGGCUAACUCCGUGCCAGCAGCCGCGGUAAUACGGAGGAUGCGAGCGUUAUCCGGAUUUAUUGGGUUUAAAGGGUUCGUAGGCGGAAGGUUAAGUCAGCGGUAAAAUGUCGGUGCUCAACACCGGCCUGCCGUUGAAACUGGUCUUCUUGAGUGAGCGAGAAGUAUGCGGAAUACGUGGUGUAGCGGUGAAAUGCAUAGAUAUCACGCAGAACUCCGAUUGCGAAGGCAGCAUACCGGCGCUCAACUGACGCUGAGGCACGAAAGCGUGGGGAUCGAACAGGAUUAGAUACCCCAGUAGUC